AGUGAACGCUGGCGGUAGGCCUAACACAUGCAAGUCGAACGGCAGCACAGUAAGAGCUUGCUCUUACGGGUGGCGAGUGGCGGACGGGUGAGGAAUACAUCGGAAUCUACUUUUUCGUGGGGGAUAACGUAGGGAAACUUACGCUAAUACCGCAUACGACCUACGGGUGAAAGCAUGGGAUCUUCGGACCUUGCGCGUUUGAAUGAGCCGAUGUCGGAUUAGCUAGUUGGCGGGGUAAAGGCCCACCAAGGCGACGAUCCGUAGCUGGUCUGAGAGGAUGAUCAGCCAAACUGGAACUGAGACACGGUCCAGACUCCUACGGGAGGCAGCAGUGGGGAAUAUUGGACAAUGGGCGAAAGCAUGAUCCAGCCAUACCGCGUGGGUGAAGAAGGCCUUCGGGUUGUAAAGCCCUUUUGUUGGGAAAGAAAAGAAGCAGGUUAAUACCCCGAUGUUCUGACGGUACCAAAAGAAUAAGCACCGGCUAACUUCGUG
Molecule: ribosomal RNA, 492 nt
Filed under: uncultured bacterium
Lineage: Bacteria
Description: partial 16S ribosomal RNA
Rfam family: Bacterial small subunit ribosomal RNA
Source: RNAcentral